This 1179-nucleotide ribosomal RNA is filed under the name marine sediment metagenome. RNAcentral describes it as "bacterial SSU rRNA". It matches the Rfam family "Bacterial small subunit ribosomal RNA", at positions 362 to 1520 of the family's 1533-position model. The record is from RNAcentral.
UCAUUCGCAAUGCGCGAAAGCGUGACGAUGCGACGCUGCGUGGAGGAUGACGGCCUUAGGGUUGUAAACUCCUGUCAUGAGGGAAAAGUUGUCUUGCGGUUAAUAACCACGAGACUCGAUGGUACCUCAAGAGGAAGCCACGGCUAACUCUGUGCCAGCAGCCGCGGUAAUACAGAGGUGGCGAGCGUUGUUCGGAUUUACUGGGCGUAAAGGGUGCGUAGGUGGUUAGGUAAGUCGGAUGUGAAAGCCCAAGGCUCAACUUUGGAACUGCAUCCGAUACUGCUUGACUAGAGUGCAGGAGGGGAGAGCGGAAUUCUUGGUGUAGCGGUGAAAUGCGUUGAUAUCAAGAAGAACACCGGUGGCGAAGGCGGCUCUCUGGAAUGUUACUGACACUGAGGCACGAAAGUUGGGGGAGCAAACAGGAUUAGAUACCCUGGUAGUCCCAACCGUAAACGGUGUCGACUUGGUGUGGGGGGAAUUGACCCCUCCCGUGCCGGAGCUAACGCGUUAAGUCGACCGCCUGGGGAGUACGACCGCAAGGUUAAAACUCAAAGAAAUUGACGGGGGCCCGCACAAGCGGAGGAGCAUGUGGCUUAAUUCGAUGCAACGCGAAGAACCUUACCCAGACUUGACAUAUACCUGCACGCUCUCUGAAAGGAGAGAAGCUUUCGAAGGUGGUAUACAGGUGCUGCAUGGCUGUCGUCAGUUCGUGCCGUGAGGUGUUUGGUUAAGUCCAGCAACGAACGCAACCCUUGUGAUUAGUUGCCACCGGUGGUGAUGAGCCACCGAGCACUCUAAUCAGACUGCCCUUGCAAGAGGGAGGAAGGUGGGGAUGACGUCAAGUCAGUAUGGCCCUUACGUCUGGGGCUGCACACGUGCUACAAUGGCCGGUACAGAAGGCUGCAAUACCGCGAGGUGGAGCUAAUCCUCAAAACCGGCCCCAGUUCGGAUUGGAGUCUGCAACUCGACUCCAUGAAGUUGGAUUCGCUAGUAACGGCGUAUCAGCUACGACGCCGUGAAUACGUUCCCGGGCCUUGUACACACCGCCCGUCACAUCAUGAAAGCCGUCUGCACCCGAAGUCACUGAUCUAAUCCCCUUGUGGGAAGGAAGGUGCCGAAGGUGUGGGUGGUGAUUGGGAUGAAGUCGUAACAAGGUAGCCGUAGGGGAACCUGUGGCUG